GGAAAAUUCAUAGGUAAGUGGCACAGACCGUUAAGAAUCUAAUUUAAAUCACAAAGAUACUCUGGCAUUUGUCUGGAGACUGGCUAAGGAUAAGCUAACAGAUAUUAACUAUUAACUAACUGAGGAUGUAGAGGUAAUAGAUGAGGGUAAGAACAAUAGCAGGAGAUAUUGUAGUGGAGAGUUUUGGACAAGAAAGUGAGGAAGUGGUACCUGAACAUGAGGGACGGCUGGAAAAAAGGAAGGAGAAAGAAGGAAGCCCUGUGGAGUGUGACGCAGAAUAAUAUUAAUAGCCUCAUCUUGGGAUUAAUGUGAUGAGCUACAAGUAGAGAACAUUGAACAAAAUAGAUAACUUAUGGAAAAGAUCAAAUAAGAAAGGAGUGAUGUUUUUAGUUAAGGAAAGAUUCAAAAUGGCUGGAUACAAAGUGGUGAUGGACUAGCAGAUGCAUUAAUAAUUAGAGUCCAAAAUAUACCAGGCAAAAAGACGAUUCAAAGUAAGUGACAUACCAAACAAUUAAUUAGUGAAAUCAGUCUUUGUUGACUCUUCCAAAGCCUUUCAGUUUGUCGACCUCAGUAUACUGUUAGGAAAAAGAGCGAUAUUAAGACAUGAGGUAUAAGCACUCCUGAUUCAAAGGCUAUUUGACUGAUAGUGUGUGUGUCCUAAAUUUGUUUUCUUAUCGUAUGACAUAAUUAUAGUUUUAGAUCCUCAUCAGUCACUGCUACACUACAUCUUGCAACCAGUAUUUGGAGAACACAAUGAGAAUAAUUGAGGGUGGUUGCAUCACCCUCAAUCACGAUCUACAAAACUCAAACGAUGACCAAAGGGGCAAUGGAUCUGUACAUGCGUGAGGUGGCGAGGGGCGUGGCCAGGGGGCGGCUAGCAGCGUGUGCCACCAGGGAAAAGUGUAUGAACAUAAAAAAAGGCGCCUGUCAAGAAAGGCACAGAUGCAGGGUGGUGAGGCAGUGUUCAUCCCAGGGGCACACCACACAGGGUCAGCAACACAGGUGGUGAUGGAGAGGCACCUGUGGGACGCCCAGGGGAACACCAAACACGACCUUGACAGACAGAAGAGUUUAUUGGUGAAGUGUGAAAGAGGAGGAAGGAACAAUGAUAUUCGACCAGCUGUGGCAUCUGGGGCCUUCACUUGACUGGGACAGCUGUGUUUACAAUGGAUGCAGCGAGAGACUGGCCUGUGUGUCUGUCUGUACAUCCUGACGGAAGCAUUUGUCCGUCUGUACGAUGCUGGGCUGGUGUACCGCAAGGAGGCUCUCGUCAACUGGUGCUGCAGCCUUCAGUCGGCCAUCUUGGACAUUGAAGUGGACCACCUGCGCCUGACAGGACCCACGGAGCUGGCAGUCCCGGGGUACAGCAAACCGGUCAGCUUCGGAAAGAUGUGGGACUUCCCUUACAGACUGGCAGACUCAGGGUUUCCUGAGGUUUGAGGCGUGGGGGGCAGUGCCGUCGGCCCUGUCGGCACUGGGGCUGUACAGAGGGUGCCACGCCCACCCCAUGACGGUGCCUCACUGCAGCAGGACGCAGGAUGUCAAUGAGCCCGUGCUGAGGCCCCAGUGGUUCGUUCGGUGCAAGGAGUCGGCACAGGAGGCGUCCGAGGCUGUGCAGAGCGGCCGUCUGAACCUGGUGCCACAGCUGCACAGGAGGGCUUGGCAUAGCUGGCUGGACAACAUCACAGACUGGUGUGUCUCCCAGCAACUCUGGUGGGGCCACAGAAUGCCAGUGUACCACAUCACUGCAGCAGAUGGCGAGGAGGUGUGGGUGGCGGCUACUCGGAGGAGGAUGCAAGACGGAAGGCUGUGGAGAAGGAAGGCACACCCUUGACCUCCAUGUCCACCCAGCAGGAGGAAGAUCUGGACACCUGGUUCUCCUCUGGUCCCUCCCUUUGCCUCGCUGGGCUGGCCGGGUCAGGGGAGGGGAGAGACCAUGCCUGACCUUGCUCGCUUCUACGCAACGACCUUGAAGACGGGUCACGGCAUCCUCUUCUGGGUGGCUCAGGUGGUCAUGCCGGGACUCAACUUGACGGGGAGGCUUUCCUUUGAGACUACUACUGUAUGGCCUCCUGGGUGAUGGUGGCGGCCGCAAGACGUCCAAGUCCUGGGGCAGUGUGAUAGACCCCCUGGAUGUCGUCAGUGGGGCGUCCCUGGAGGUACUGUGCGAGAGGGUGGAGGGGACCCUGAACGCGGAAGAGGUACUCGCUGGUCUCGUAUGAAGUCCCCCACAGGCAUCCCAGAGUGUGGAGCUGAUGCCCUUUGGUCCACCCUGUGCUCCACCAGCUUCAGGAGUCAGUGUGGCAUAGAUAUAUGUGGAUGACUGUGGUGUCUUGUCUUGUGUGGAGUUACAAGGUUGGUGUAUGGAUGGAACCGUCACCCCAAACAAUGAGUGGUGGAGGGUGCGUUCUGCAUUGACAGCUGGCAUGAGCGGUGACAGGAGCCAUGGGUGCCUUGCCUCCUCGCACCACCACCACAAGCACCACCACUCCUGCCAUCACCUACGAGGGGGAGAGACUGUGAUGUGGCUGCAGGUGGAUAGGUUCGGAGGCCUCCAGAUAGCCGCCCAGAGUGAAGCUUGUGGUAUAGAGGGACAGCUGCUGAUUAUCAAGCUUAUGGAGUGACUGGAGGAAAGUGGGAGGAGCCUGGAGGGAGUGGUGGAGGUACAGUACUUGGAGAAAAUCCCUCCACCAUGAUGACUGGGUGUCUGCUGUACAGGCCACCAACCAAUGGUGAGAGAGGGAGGGAGACUGGCUAAUGGUGGAUGUGAGAGAGAGAGAGAGAGAGAGAGAGAGAGAGAGAGAGAGAGAGAGAGAGAGUCUUGAUAAAUAAUAUUGGGCACAGGCUUCACCACUGGGUCGACUGUGAGGGCUGCGUUCUUCUGCUAGGGAAGUAUUGGCUGGUUGGUGGCCGCGGCUGUUCACGCACUCGCUCUUGCUGUGGCUGGCAUGCUGUUCUGUCCUCUCUUGUUCCAGGAAUUGCUGUCUGAGGUGUGUGUGUGUGUGUGUGUAUGUGUGUGUGUGUGUAGAAGCCAUCAUGAUCAACCACAGCAGGUGAUAAUGAUGGUUCCUGCUUUCAUCGUCAUCGGGGCUAGCCAGACCAACCUGGGGCUGUACUGGGGUGACGCUGUAUGCCUCAGGUGUAUCUGGAAGGCUGGGAUAGUGAGAAGGUAACAAUUAAAAAGGACUAGUGUACACUUAAACCAUUACAAACACUAUGUAAUGCUGGUAUACACACACAAACACUGGUAUACACUUAGAGACAUAUAUAAACACUUGCUAAGGUUUGUAUACUCUUAGAAAAACACAUAUAAACUCUUAAUAAGUCUAGUAAACACACAAACUUGUAUACAAACACUAGUAUAUACUUAGAGACACGUCCAAACCUUUGCUAAGUCUGAUAUAAACAUAUAAACUCAUAAGAGAUGCUGGUAUAUGCUUGGAAAUCUAUACACACAUUAGGUAAGACUAGUAUACACAAAUCUAUACAUAUAUUAGGAAUUUAUUGAAUGAUUGAGAUGAUACGUACUCUCUCUCUCUCUCUCUCUCUCUCUCUCUCUCUCUCUCUCUCUCUCUCUCUCUCUCUCUCUUUCUCUUUCUCUUUCUCUCAUAUCCUUUGUCUAUCUCAAAUUUUCUCUUUUAAUCCCUCCCUCUCUGUCUGUCUGUCUGUCUGUCUGUCCCACACCUCAAUACACCCUUCCUGUCUUCAUAUACCUUAGUACACCCUUCCUGUCUGCCCCUGGACCUUAAUACACCCUGUAUCACCCUUGCAUCUCAUUAAACUAUCCCUAUUUCUCCACCUCAAUAAACCCUGUCUAAUUUCCCUGUCUAGCUGUUUGUCUCAUCUUAUUACACCCUGUCUCUCCCUGCUUCUUGUUGCACCCUUCCUUUCCCCUACUCCUCAAUACUCCCUUCCCACCCUGUGUCAUGUGUAUAUAUUUAAGUAUUUAUAUUCAUUUGUGGCAUUCUUCAUGUGUUUUUGGGGUGUUUUGAGUGUGUUUGGGUGUGUUUUGGGGUGUUUUGGUCAGUUUUGGGUGUGUUUUGGGGUGUUUUGGGUGUGUUUUGGGGUGUUUGGGUCAGUUUUGGGUGUGUUUGGGUGUGUUUUGGGGUGUUUUGGGGUGUUUUGGGUGUGUUUUGGGUGUGUUUGGGUGUGUUUUGGGGUGUUUGGGUCAGUUUUGGGUGUGUUUGGGUGUAUUUUGGGGUGUUUUGGGUGUGUUUUGGGUGUGUUUGGGUGUGUUUUGGGGUGUUUUGGAUGUGUUUGGGUGUGUUUUGGGUGUGUUUGGGUGUGUUUUAGGUGUGUUUGGGUGUGUUUUUGGGUGUUUUGGUCAGUUUUGGGUGUGUUUGGGUGUGUUUUUGGGUGUUUUGGUCAGUUUUGGGUGUGUUUGGGUGUGUUUUUGGGCGUUUUGGUCAGUUUUGAGUGUGUUUGGGUGUGUUUUGGGGUGUUUUCGUCAGUUUUGGAUGAGUUUGGGUGUGUUUUGGGAUGUUUUACGUGUUUUUUUUUGGUAUUUUAAAGGAGUUUGGGUGUGUUUUGGGUGGCUACGGGUGUGCUGUGGGUGGAUAAGGCUGUUUCUGGGUGUUUAAGUGGGUGUGGAUGCGUUUUGGGGUGUUUUGGAUGUGUUUUGAGGUGUAGAGAGAUAGACGUGAUGUGUGCAAGGUGUCUCAGUCCCUGGAUGGGUGUAGCAGUACGUGGUGGUGCUGUCUGGGUCUCGUGGUGUGUAGUGCAUGGGAAGGAACAGAUAAUUUAGGGCAGUUUUUCAUAUUUAAUUAUUUUGUUUAUUAAUUUAUUUACUAUUAUCAUUAUUUUUUAUUGUUUUUAAUUAAAGGGGGGUUAAUUUUUACGCUCAUCGUUUGUGUUCGGGAGUGGUUAGUGCUAUUGACAAAAAAAGGGAGAUCGUUUUAUUUUUUAGUGUGGAAAUUGUCGCAGUUGUCAGGUGUUGAUUGGUGUUGAGAGUCGCAGGUCCCGUCUCGCCCUCUGUCAUAAAAUAAACAAUAAAGGGUUGAUUUUCA
Scylla paramamosain (green mud crab) is the source of this 5006-nucleotide RNA transcript. It is a transcript of the gene named valine--tRNA ligase-like, with no coding region annotated. NCBI's taxonomy places the organism in Eukaryota, Metazoa, Arthropoda, Malacostraca, Decapoda, Portunidae. The transcript has 13 exons. The record is from RefSeq and is a predicted model, not a curated record.